GUUAUGGAAUGAAGACAAUGUUCUAGCACUAGUGGACCCAAACAUACCUGCUAAAUGCUUUGAGGUUCAGCUUUUAAGGUGCAUAAAUGUGGGGCUUCUCUGUACGCAAGAAAGGGCAAAAGAUAGGCCUUCCAUAUCAACUGUUAUUUCAAUGAUCAACAGUGAAGUGGAUCUUCCUCGUCCAAAGAAACCUGCAUUCACCCCGAGGAAAAUAACCCAAGACACAGAUUCCUCUGGACAAAGCCAAAAGACAUGUCUGCCAACNNNNNNNNNNNNNNNNNNNNNNNNNNNNNNNNNNNNNNNNNNNNNNNNNNNNNNNNNNNNNNNNNNNNNNNNNNNNNNNNNNNNNNNNNNNNNNNNNNNNUGCAUUAGCCCCCUCCUUCAAUAUUCGCAACUGCUCCUUAACGUUUCUAUUUGUUCCAAAUUAGAAUGCAAAUCUUGGCAACGCCAGAAAUACCCUCAAAUUUGCAAUAGCCUUAAGUGUUCACUAAUGUUCAUUUCACAUCAUAAAUUCAAUGACAUGGUUAGCUCAAAAAAUUCCACUAAUCCUAUUGAUGGGAGAAUGAUAUAGUUCAUUUUACUCAACAUUGCAGUCCUCGUCAAUUGAUUGUAAGAUUUCGAUCAAUAUAACCAGUUGUGAGCAACUGGAAACUAAAUGCCAACUCAUGGAAAGCAAUUGCGGCCACAUUCCUAAAUGAAUGCAAGAAUCUAAAAUUUCGGCGGCAUGCACUUUCAAGGGCUUAAAUGCUUUUUCUACAGUUGACUUCGUCAAUGGGGUAGAAAUCCUGAUGUAGACACUCAACCACUUAGUUAACUUCAUCAAUGGGGUACACUCUAGCAUUUAGCUAAUGCUCCCGCGGCGGUGCACUAGAUCAAGAUAAUUGACUCGUAAGGCAAGGUGAAGUGACUCUUCAAGGAAAGCAAUCAAUAUUACUAGUUGUAGUCAACUGAAAACUAAGUCCAUUAAAAUUUUCAUGAAUCCACAAGGUAUUGGGAAAGCUAUUGAGGCCACAAUGUUGAAUGAAGACAACAAUCUAAAUUUCCAUGGCUUGCUCUCUUUGACCCGUAAUCCUCCAAGACCUGAAUGCGUUUUGUACAGAUGCCCUCGUCAAUGGGGCAAAAAUCCUGAUGUAGAAACUCAACCACUUAGUUAAUGCUCUUAGAUUGGCUUGUUAGAUCAAUUGGGAGAAACUAAACCUUUUUAAUGGAAUAUAGUGGUUACAUGACUCCUGAAUAUGCAAUGAAAGGGCAACUUUUAAAAAAUCAGAUGUCUUUAAUUUUGGCAUAUUAUUAUUGGAGAUCGUAAGUGGAAGACAGAACACUAGUCUUCAUGAUGAAGAUCAAUGCUUGAGCCUUCUAGGAGUGUAAGCUCUCAUCGAUGUAGAAGUUGGAACUGCAUUCAAUUCUCAUAAACUGGAACUCCAAUAGUAAAUUGACUUGCUUUGAGGUUCGGCUUUCAAGGUGCAUUAAUGUGGGGCUUCUUUGUACGCAAGAAAUGGCAAAAGAUAGGCCUUCCAUAUCAACAGUUAUUUCAAUGAUCAACAGUGAAGUGGAUCUUCCUCGUCCAAAGAAACCUGCAUUCACUGCGAAGAAAAUAACCCAAGACACUGAUUCCUCUGGAAAAAACCCAAAGACAUGUUCUGCCAACGAUGUUGCUCUUACUGUUCUUCAAGGCAGAUGAUGUGAUCUGAAUUUUUGCAAGAUUCUCCCUACAUGUCCUGCCCUUACCUUUUCUAGUUACUAGUUUUAGUUUUACACAAUCUUGCUCGCAAAUGUACAGAAACGCAAAUCGUGAACUAUUUUUUCCACUUCAUAGUUCUUUACUACACAUAUUUGCGUGAUCAAAGGUUGGGGUAGGAGCCUUCUGGUGGGAAUAAUGCUUCUACUUCUCAUAUCGGGAGCCAGUGGGUUAGAUAAAUUCUGGAAAAUUGCAGACAACCCCCCUCCACUGUGAGGAGAAUUGCAAUUAGCCCCCUCCUUCAAAUGUUCGCAACUACUCCUUGACGUUUCUAUUUGUUCCAAUUAGAAUCCAAAUCUUAGCAACACUAGAAAUAGCCUCAAGUUUUCACCGAUGUUUAUUUCACAUCAUAAAUUUAAUGACAUGGCUAGCUCAAAAAAUUUCACUAAUCCUAUUGAUGUGAGAAUGAGAUAGUUCAUUUUACUCGGUAUCCGGUCCUUGUCGAUUGAUUGUAAAAUUUCAUUCGAGAGAGUGACACUAGAAGUGCCAUAAAUUGUGUAUGGUGCUCACUUAAGGUCCAAAAGUUCUUUUCGAAUCACUUAAAUGUCACUUAAAAAAAAAAUCAGUUAAGUGCCAAUUCCGAUAAGAGUCAUCAGAUAUUUGAUGUGGUAAUAUUUUAUUAAUUUCUUGAUCUUAUGUGGCUCGCCGACAUGCCCAGUCAGCAUAUAAUCACUAAAUGAUGUUAUGUAGUAAGUUAAAAAGUAAUCACUUUAGUGCCAAAAAAAAAAGUCACCUCAAAUAAAAAUUUAAUUAUAAAUGCUGCAUAAUUUUUUAGCCGAAAUUUCUUGUCGAAGGCAUUUAAGUAAUUGUUUUUUUUUUUUCUAAUUUUGAUAUUAAAGUAAGCGUCAUACACAACUUAUGACACUUCUAAUAUCCUUCUCCCGAUUUCAAUAAGUAUAACUAGUUGUGAGUGACUAGAAACUAAGGGCCUGCAUGGUAACGCUUCUGUUUUUUUUUUUUUUUGGUUAUUUUUGUUCCUCAAAAUAGGAAAAAAAAAUCUAUUUAAGAAUAUCAAUUAAAUUUUUUAUUCCCUGAAAUAGAAAAGUAGCCAUGGAAUAAAUUUAGAACAGAAAUAAAAAGUAAAAUAAAGUAGUUUCUUAUUUUUGAAAACAAUUUAUAGAAAUAAGUCUUCUUUUUUUUUUUGUUCUUUUCUUUUUCUUCCUCUUCUAACCAAUGGAGACUUGUCAUCUACCACUGCCCCGUCGGUCGUGAGUCGCCACCGUCCAUCAAUCACUAGUCAUCACUAGCGGUCGUCAUCUGCCACUGCCGGUCACCGAUCACUAUUGUUGCUAAUCACCACCUGUGCAGCAAUCAGCUAGAGGAGGAAGAAGAAAUAAAAAAGAAAAAUCUAAAAAAAAUUAUUGGAAAAUUAGAAGAAAUUUUACAUCAUAAAAAAGUUUGUAUGUUGCACAAAAUGCCUUUAUGUUCUUUUUUUAUUUUAUUUUAGGAAUCGAAAUUUUAUGUAAUUACCAAACACUUUUUACUCAAAAACUAUUUUAGGGAAUAAAAAUAAAAAAGAACUGUUUUUGAAAAAAAAAUUGUUAUUAGGAAGUGAUAUGUUAUCAAACAUACCCCGAACCGAAUGUCAACUUAUGGAAAGCAGCUGUGGAAAUGUGCAUGAAUCUACCAAGAAAGUGGCAAUUCAUGAAAAGCAAUUGCAGUUACUAUCCUGAAUGAAUGCAAGAGUCUAAAAUUUCGGUGGCAUGCACUUUCAAAGGCUUGAAUGCUUUUUCUAGAGUUGACUUGGUCAAUAAGGUAGAAAUCCUGAUGUGGAAAUUCUAGCAUUUAGCUAAUAAUCUCACGUCGGCGCACUAAAUCAAGAUACUUAACUCAUAAGUCAAGGUGAAGUGACUCUUCAGGGAAACUAAUCAAUAUGACUAGAAACUAAGUCCAUUGAAAUUUUCAUGAAUCCACAAGGUACGCGGAAAGCUAUUGGGGCCACAAUGCUGAAUGAAGGCAACGAUCUAAAAUUUCCAUGGCUUGCUCUCUCUGAUUGGUAAUCCUCCAAGAUUUGAAAUCUUUUUCUACGGUUACCCCCGUCAGUGGGGCAAAAAUCCUGAUGUAGAAACUCAACCACUUAGUUAAUGCUCUCACAUUGGCUCGCUAGAUCAAUAUUAUUGACUCGUAAGUCAAGGUGAAGUGACCCCUCAAGUAUGUCACUAUGAGAAAGAAUAACAAAUGUCCAUAAGAGAAAGAGGAAUUUGGUCUGAUUGGAGAAAAAUUAACAAUGUUCAUAAUAUCCAACAUGGACUUUCAAAGGCUUAAAUGUUUUUUUCUAGAGUUGACUUCGUCAAUGGGGUGGAAAUCCUGAUGUAGAAACUCCACCACUUAGAUGCUCCUACAUUGGCUCGCUAGAUCAAUAUUCUUGAGUCCAUCGGUCAAGGUGAAGUGACCCCUCGAGUAUGUCACUAUGAGAAAGAAUAACAAAUGUCCAUAAGAGCCAAAGCGGAAAGAGGUCUGAUUAGAGAAAAAUUAACAAUGUUCAUAAUAUCCAACGUGCACUUUCAAAGGCUUAAAUGUUUUUUUCUAGAGUUGACUUCGUCAAUGGUGUAGAAACUCAACCACUUAGUUAAUGUUUUUACAUUGGCUCGCUAGAUCAAUAUUCUUGAUUCAUAAGUCAAAGUGAAGUGACCCUUCAAGUAUGUCACUAUGAAAAAAAAUAACAAUGUCCAUAAGAACCAAAGAGGAAAGAGUUCUGAUUGGAGAAAAAUUAACAAUGUCCAUAAUAUCCACCAUGCGACUCAACAUCAAAGACCGCCGUGUGGAAAAUUUUUGAAAGACCCGUUUACUAGCCAGGAAAAAUCAGGACUUUGAGAGCAAUAGUUGACGAGGAAAUGUUCCCAUUCGAGCAAUAUAAAUUUCUUCACGGAGAUGCUUAAACCAUCUUUUCCAGUCGAAAAUUUACCUUUAUCUUUAACCACAAAGUUUUCUCUCUAUAAUUGUGAUUUCCACCUUCUGUUCUAAACUUCAGGUUGUGUCUUCUGCUGUUCUAAAGCUAGCAAAAUCAGUUGCUGCUGAGAAGAAAGGUUCAAGUAGUCAUGAUUCUUCUAAGAAAAGUAAGAGUAUUCUCUCUCUUUAUUUUGUCUCAUUAUGCUGUGAAAUUUUGCAUUGGGGGAGAUAUCAUUACAGCAUCUGAGUACAUCCAAGACCCUGGAAGUAUCAUAUCAAGUGGAGGUCUCUACAAACUGGGAUUCUUUAGCCCCAAUGGUACCACCAAUCGGUAUGUUGGAAUUUGGCAUAACAAGAUUCCUGCGCUUAACGUCUUUUGGGUUGCAAACAGGGAGAAGCCUGUUCUAGAUUCUUCUGGUGUCAUGACCAUAUCCAAUGAUGGUAAUCUCGUGAUAUUGAAUGGAAAGAAGGAAGUACUUUGGUCAUCAAACGUUUCCACCUCUGGAGCUAAUGCAAAAGCCCAUUUAUUAGAUACUGGAAAUCUUAUCUUGCAAAAACAAAGCUCUAAUAUGAGCACAAAUGAUACAACGGCAUGGGAAAGUUUCCAGACCAUGUGUGAUACAUUCAUCGCGAAAAUGAAGCUUAGCACCAACUUGAGAACAAAUGAGAAGAAGGUACUCACAUCUUGGAAAAGCCCUUCUGACCCAUCGAUUGGAAGUUUUUCAAUUAGUCUUGAACCACUAAAUAUUCCUGAAGUUUUCCUUUGGAACGGCACUACUCUAUAUUGGCGGAGUGGUCCAUGGAAUGGUAAGGUUUUCAUUGGAAUUCCCGAGAUGGAAUCAGUCUAUCUUGAUGGAUUUACCUUAGUGGAUGAUAAAGAAGGAUAUGUCUAUCUGACUUACAAUUUUGCAGAGGUGUCUUAUUUUUCAUACUUUUUUGUGAGGUCAAAUGGGGAGUUGUUGCAGCCAUUCUGGGAUGAAAAAUAUAAGAAGUGGCGGAUCGAUUGGUCAACCCAAGCAUCUGAUUGUGAUGUUUAUGGCAAGUGUGGUCCAUUUGGAUACUGUGAUGCCAAGAAAUCACCAAUUUGCAGCUGCUUGAGAGGCUAUGAGCCAAAAAAAGUUGAAGAAUGGAGCAGAGGGAAUUGGUCCAGCGGAUGCAUCCAGAAGUCAUUGCUGCAAUGCGCUAGGUUGAAAAAUGGUAGUACUAAAGCGGGAAAAAUUGAUGGAUUUGUAAAGCUUGAGAAUGUGAAAGUGCCGAAUUAUGCAAUCUGGUCAUCUCCUUUGGAAGACAAGUGCCAAGAGCAGUGCCUCAGUAAUUGUUCGUGCGCAGCAUAUGCUUAUGAUGCCGGCGUUGGUUGCAUGUACUGGAGUGGAGACCUAAUCGACGUACGGAAGUUCUCCUAUGCAGGAACAACUCUUUAUGUUCGAGUGGCCCAUACAGAACUCGGUAUGUUCAUUCCUAAAUUAAAUUUCUGAUCUAUCUGGUAAUACAACUUACUGCUAGAUUGGUUAGGGAAUUUCAAUCAAUGUGAUACGCCAGGUGGAGUUGCGAUCCCUGAAAGCUAGCUAAUCAGUUCUUUUCUUAUUUUUUAAUAUGUGCUUCAAUCUCAGACAUCAUUGUUUGUCCGUAUUUUGAUCUGCAGAAGGAAAAAGAGAUCUGAGAGCAAUUAUAGCGACUGCAGCAGUUGUGGCAACUGUAAUUUUCAGUAUUGGUACUUUCUUCGCCUGGCAGAAGUCGAAAAAACGAGGUGGUAAAGACGGAGAACAAUUUUCAAAGGCUUCUAGUGAGAACAUGCUCAGAGGGAGCUUGAGCAAAGUUAAUCUCCAGGAGCUUGUGCUAUAUAAAUUGGAAGAGCUGGCUGCAGCAACAAGCAACUUUAGUGAUGCAAACAAGCUCGGGGAGGGUGGUUUUGGGGCAGUAUAUAGGGUAAUACCGUGUCAUGUAGAGGACAGCAGCUCCAUUUCUGCUUCUUCUUUUUAACUUUAGCAGCUCAUUUACGUCCUUUUGUACAGGGGAGAUUGCUAAAUGGAAAAGAAAUAGCAGUCAAAAGACUAUCAGGGGCCUCUGGACAAGGAUUGCGGGAAUUUAUCAAUGAAAUGGAAGUGAUUUCCAAGGUCCAACAUCGAAAUCUCGUUCGACUCCUUGGAUGCUGUGCCGAGCAAGAUGAAAAACUAUUAAUCUAUGAGUUCAUGCCAAACAAGGGUCUAGAUGCAUUUCUUUUUGGUAAUAUUCCAUUUCUUGUAGUAUUCCGUCCAUCUAUCAUGGAAUACCAGUUUAUGGGGAAGUCAAGUUUUUAAUUUUACCUGUUUAAACCGACAUUGGCUGCACCUAUUGCACAUACUUUACAUUUUCAGUAUACAUGGGAGCCUCUUUCUGUGCAUUACACUCUUCUCCGGUCACAAAUUAACACGUAAUUUUAUGAAUUCCACUUCUGUUGUCUAUUUCAGAUCCUCUCAAACGAGAGCAACUGGAUUGGAGAAGACGGUUCAACAUCAUUGAUGGAAUUUGUCGAGGCCUACUAUACCUUCACCGUGACUCCAGACUACGGAUAAUUCAUAGAGAUCUUAAGACGAGUAAUAUCCUGUUGGAUGAAGAGCUCAAUCCAAGAAUUUCAGACUUUGGAACGGCUAGAAUAUUUGGGGGAAAAGAAGAUCAAGCAGAUACACUAAGAGUUAUGGGAACCUAGUAAGUAUUUUUAUAUGAUGAGUCUCGUACCAAUUUUAUCUUUCUACCUAGCAUGAGGAAUAUUAAAGUGUUUCAUGGAAUGCAGUGGUUACAUGGCUCCAGAAUAUGCAAUGGAAGGGCGGUUUUCGGAAAAAUCGGAUGUCUUUAGCUUUGGGGUAGUAUUGCUGGAGAUUGUAAGUGGAAGACAGAACAAUAGCUUCAAUGAGGAAGAUCAGUCCUUGAGCCUGUUAGGAUUGGUAAGCUGUCACAAACAGAGAGAUCACCCUAUUUCCAUCAGCUCAAGUUCCAAAAAUAAUUAGACUUGAAUUCUGUUUUUUGGCAGGCAUGGAAAUAUUGGGAGGAAGACAAUGUACUUGCGCUAGUGGACCCUAAAAUUUCUGUUGGAUGCUCCGAGAUUGAGAUCAUAAGGUGUAUAAAUGUGGGGCUGCUUUGUACACAAGAACUUGCAACUGAUAGGCCUACCAUUUCAACUGUCAUUUCAAUGAUUAGCAAUGAAAUUGUUGGUCUUCCUCGUCCGAACAAACCUGCAUUCACCGAGAGGCAAACAACUACAGACACAGGUUCCUCCAGACAAAGUCAGAAAAAAUACUCUGCCAACAAUGUCACUAUUACCGCUCUUGAAGGCAGAUAAAAUGAGGAUACCAAAACCAAUAAGCUCGAAAGUUCAGCUC
Molecule: long non-coding RNA, 7983 nt
Filed under: Eucalyptus grandis
Lineage: Eukaryota; Viridiplantae; Streptophyta; Magnoliopsida; Myrtales; Myrtaceae
Description: long non-coding RNA (EGRA_LNC002251)
Source: RNAcentral